This 253-nucleotide ribosomal RNA is filed under the name uncultured bacterium. RNAcentral describes it as "partial 16S ribosomal RNA". It matches the Rfam family "Bacterial small subunit ribosomal RNA", at positions 524 to 776 of the family's 1533-position model. The record is from RNAcentral.
GACGAACCGAGCGAACGUUGUUCGGAAUCACUGGGCUUAAAGGGCGCGUAGGCGGGCCGCCAAGUCAGGGGUGAAAGCCCCCAGCUCAACUGGGGAAGUGCCUCUGAUACUGGCGGCCUCGAGGGAGGUAGGGGCGUGCGGAACUUCCGGUGGAGCGGUGAAAUGCGUAGAUAUCGGAAGGAACACCGGUGGCGAAAGCGGCGCGCUGGACCUCAUCUGACGCUGAGGCGCGAAAGCCAGGGGAGCAAACGGG